Molecule: ribosomal RNA, 477 nt
Filed under: uncultured bacterium
Lineage: Bacteria
Description: bacterial SSU rRNA
Rfam family: Bacterial small subunit ribosomal RNA
Source: RNAcentral
UGACAGUACUCCUACGGGGAGGCAGCAGUGGGGGAAUAUUGCACAAUGGGCGCAAGCCUGAUGCAGCCAUGCCGCGUGUAUGAAGAAGGCCUUCGGGUUGUAAAGUACUUUCAGCAGUGAGGAAGGUAUCGUAGUUAAUAGCUGCGGUAUUUGACGUUAGCUGCAGAAGAAGCACCGGCUAACUCCGUGCCAGCAGCCGCGGUAAUACGGAGGGUGCGAGCGUUAAUCGGAAUUACUGGGCGUAAAGCGCAUGCAGGUGGUUUGUUAAGUCAGAUGUGAAAGACCCGGGGCUCAACCUCGGAAUUGCAUUUGAAACUGGCAGACUAGAGUACUGUAGAGGGGGGUAGGAAUUUCAGGUGUAGCGGUGAAAUGCGUAGAGAUCUGAAGGAAUACCGGUGGCGAAGGCGGCCCCCUGGACAGAUACUGACACUCAGAUGCGAAAGCGUGGGGAGCAAACAGGAUUAGAUACCCUGGUAG